RNAcentral lists this transfer RNA (65 nucleotides) under Dipodomys ordii (Ord's kangaroo rat). It matches the Rfam family "tRNA". From Rfam's summary of the family: Transfer RNA (tRNA) molecules are approximately 80 nucleotides in length. Their secondary structure includes four short double-helical elements and three loops (D, anti-codon, and T loops). Further hydrogen bonds mediate the characteristic L-shaped molecular structure. tRNAs have two regions of fundamental functional importance: the anti-codon, which is responsible for specific mRNA codon recognition, and the 3' end, to which the tRNAs corresponding amino acid is attached (by aminoacyl-tRNA synthetases). tRNAs cope with the degeneracy of the genetic code in two manners: having more than one tRNA (with a specific anti-codon) for a particular amino acid; and 'wobble' base-pairing, i.e. permitting non-standard base-pairing at the 3rd anti-codon position. The record is from Rfam by way of RNAcentral. Lineage: Eukaryota; Metazoa; Chordata; Mammalia; Rodentia; Heteromyidae.
GGUGGCUCAAUAGUAGAGUACUUGCCUUGCAUGCAUGAGGCCCUGGGUUCGAUUCCUCAGCACCA